Molecule: ribosomal RNA, 646 nt
Filed under: Unguicaris sp. IH-2016
Lineage: Eukaryota; Metazoa; Arthropoda; Malacostraca; Decapoda; Palaemonidae
Description: bacterial SSU rRNA
Rfam family: Eukaryotic small subunit ribosomal RNA
Source: RNAcentral
GUGGAGCCUGCGGCUUAAUUUGACUCAACACGGGAAAGCUGACCAGGCCCGGACACCAGAAGGAUUGACAGAUUAAGAGCUCUUUCUCGAUUUGGUGGGUGGUGGUGCAUGGCCGUUCUUAGUUGGUGGAGUGAUUUGUCUGGUUAAUUCCGGUAACGAACGAGACUCUGGCCUACUAACUAGUGGACUUUGGUUGCGGAUGAGCAGCCGAGUCCGAUUGAUUCUUCUUAGAGGGAUGAGCAGCGAGUAUAGCUGCAGGAGAUUGAGCAAUAACAGGUCUGUGAUGCCCUUAGAUGUCCUGGGCCGCACGCGCGCUACACUGAAUGGUUUAGCGAGUGCUCCUUGUCCGAAAGGAUGGGGAAAUCUUGUGAAAAGCAUUCGUGAUAGGGAUUGGCGCUUGUAAUUGUUGGCCAUGAACGAGGAAUUCCCAGUAAGCGCAAGUCAUGAGCUUGCGUUGAUUAAGUCCCUGCCCUUUGUACACACCGCCCGUCGCUACUACCGAUUGAAUGAUUUAGUGAGGCCUUUGGACUGGCUGUCUUGGAGAUGGCGUUUGGCCCUGUCACGGGGUCGGAUGCCGGCCUUGACGUGCCGGAAAGAUGUCCAAACUUGAUCAUUUAGAGGAAGUAAAAGUCGUAACAAGGUUUCC